UUAACUUUAUUUUUAUUGAUUUUUUGAGUGUGUUUCUUUACUUGUUGGCUACACUUGUUAUGAUUCUCUUUAGGGAACUCAUUAUCUUGUUAUGAACAGCUUGAGUAUGAAUGUGGUGAGA
Long non-coding RNA from Ipomoea nil (Japanese morning glory), 121 nucleotides. RefSeq lists it as uncharacterized. NCBI's taxonomy places the organism in Eukaryota, Viridiplantae, Streptophyta, Magnoliopsida, Solanales, Convolvulaceae. The transcript has 4 exons. The record is from RefSeq and is a predicted model, not a curated record.